Molecule: transfer RNA, 73 nt
Filed under: Ovis aries (sheep)
Lineage: Eukaryota; Metazoa; Chordata; Mammalia; Artiodactyla; Bovidae
Rfam family: tRNA
About the family: Transfer RNA (tRNA) molecules are approximately 80 nucleotides in length.
Source: Rfam by way of RNAcentral
UCCCUGGUGGUCCAGUGGUUAGGACUCUGUGCUUUCGCCUCCAAGGGCUCAGGUUCAACUCCUGGUUGGGAAA